RNAcentral lists this non-coding RNA (30 nucleotides) under Mus musculus (house mouse). Lineage: Eukaryota; Metazoa; Chordata; Mammalia; Rodentia; Muridae. The record is from RNAcentral.
CAGGCCAAAGGUGACUGUUUUGUGUGUAGC